Molecule: long non-coding RNA, 1149 nt
Filed under: Vitis vinifera (wine grape)
Lineage: Eukaryota; Viridiplantae; Streptophyta; Magnoliopsida; Vitales; Vitaceae
Description: long non-coding RNA (VVIN_LNC004246)
Source: RNAcentral
UUUGCUGUUGAUUGGAGUCCAGAUGGUGAGAAGGUAGCCUCCGGUGGUAGGGACAGAGUACUCAAUUUAUGGAUGGGUUGAUGGCUAAAGGAGGAAGAGAUGUAUGAAAUGAAGAUUGACAUGAUUCUUCCACAACAUGAUGGACUUGGCAGACACUCAACUUUUGCCUAUAGUUGAUAGUCUACCAUGUGUAACUUAAAGGUUGUGCACUAAGUUCUGAUGUUAUGAAGGAUCGAGGGUGGUUUGUGCACUAAGCUCUUCUAAAAUAUUUUUCUUUAUUGAGCUGUAAUGAUUGUAUUAUUUGGAUUUAAUUGUAUUCAUUAGGUUUGUAGAUCACGAUAUGAUUAUUUUCCUCUUUGAUCAUGUAAAGUUAGGAAGCAGUUAUGGGUUACUAUAUUAGCAUGGUAUAUUGAUGCACACAGUUUGUGGCAUGACAGUUUGAUGAAAUUACAGAAGUGUAGCACUCAUAGGCAUAUCAUGUGAACCUUAUUCAAUGUGGCAUUGACAGUUAGUUUAUAUUUACAUGGGUGUAAUGUCGCACUAGUAUCCUCUAAUGAACCUUGGAUUCUUUUUUCUCCGUUUCUUCCUCUCUUGGUCAAGCAAAACAAUUUAUCUUCAUGACUUCCUCCUAUUACCAAAAAGCAACAUCUUGUGUUCUCCAUCUCUUCAUUCCCUUGUCAAGACACAACAAUUUGAUGCAUUUUUGCAUUGGGUUGCUUCCUCUCCUUCCCUUCUCCUUCCUCCUCGUCUCAUUGCUUAGUUUUGGCUAUGUUUAUUUUGAUCAUUAUGGUAGAGCAUCCUUGCAAGAUGUACAAGAAAUAUGUUGUGGUGCAUUAUCCCCUUCUCUACCACCCGAAAUCUGUUUUCCAUGAUCAUUAAUACCAAGAUGUUUAAGCAUCAAGUAAGGCAUCUCUCAACAAUUAUGCGAGAAAUAAGAGACAAGCAACAUACCAGUAUUCAAGAGAAGUGAUGUUCUACAUUUGCAUUUGACAACAUGCAUUUAGUCUGAACUCCAAAUUUGGGCAACUCAGAAUCUCCACCUUCAUUAUGAUUGCAGAAAGUUGCCUUCUUGGAAAAAUGUGGAAAUUGGGCAUUUAGAAAUCUAAAAGAAUCACAGUGGCAUGUUGCUACUUUUGAAUCAUUCCAAUC